Molecule: ribosomal RNA, 471 nt
Filed under: uncultured Cercozoa
Lineage: Eukaryota; Cercozoa
Description: partial 18S ribosomal RNA
Rfam family: Eukaryotic small subunit ribosomal RNA
Source: RNAcentral
GCGAAAGCAUUCAUCAAUUCCAUUCUUUUUAAUCAAGGACGAAAGUCGGGUUUUCAAAGACGAUCAGAUACCGUUGUAGUCUCGACCAUAAACGAUGAGUGUUCAAGGCGUGUUCUUGUUGUCCCGCCUCGUUGUCGACCUGCGUGAGCAUGUUGAGUUCGAGUCGGUCAACUUAUAUCAUUCGCGUUUCUUUUUUUAAGAUGUUAGUUCUACUAACACUUGGCUUCGAUCGGAAUGAAUACGAAUUGUGUGGGAAACCAAAACUCCCUACGUGGAGUGUAUAGUAGCAAUACCGAAAUUUAAAAGAAUUGACGGAAGUAUCACUACCAGAAAUGGAUUGUGCUGCCUAAUUUGAUUUAACGCGAGGAACCUUACCAGUGCCGAACACCGUGAGGAAAGACAGAUUGCAGUUCUUUCUUGAUUCUGUGCUUGUUGCAAGUAGUGCAUGGCCUUUGGGAAGUGAGUGGAUUG